UCCCGGUUGUCUUCACUAUUU
This 21-nucleotide microRNA is filed under the name Marchantia polymorpha subsp. ruderalis. The record is from RNAcentral. Lineage: Eukaryota; Viridiplantae; Streptophyta; Marchantiopsida; Marchantiales; Marchantiaceae.